RNAcentral lists this ribosomal RNA (253 nucleotides) under uncultured bacterium. RNAcentral's name for it is "partial 16S ribosomal RNA". It matches the Rfam family "Bacterial small subunit ribosomal RNA", at positions 524 to 776 of the family's 1533-position model. The record is from RNAcentral.
UACGGAGGAUGCAAGCGUUAUCCGGAAUGAUUGGGCGUAAAGCGUCCGCAGGUGGCUGUGUAAGUCUGCUGUUAAAGAGUCUAGCUCAACUAGACAAGAGCAGUGGAAACUACAUAGCUAGAGUACGUUCGGGGCAGAGGGAAUUCCUGGUGUAGCGGUGAAAUGCGUAGAGAUCAGGAAGAACACCGGUGGCGAAGGCGCUCUGCUAGGCCGUAACUGACACUGAGGGACGAAAGCUAGGGGAGCGAAUGGG